UCACACAGAGGUCAACUAGGGUUCAAAUGUUACAGCUCCACUGUGGCCUGCAGCAUAUGACUACAGGUAGCAUACACAGGGGUCACACAGAGGUCAACUAGGGUUCAAAUGUUACAGCUCCACUGUGGCCUGCAGCAUAUGACUACAGGUAGCAUACACAGGGGUCACACAGAGGUCAACUAGGGUUCAAAUGUUACAGCUCCACUGUGGCCUGCAGCAUAUGACUACAGGUAGCAUACACAGGGGUCACACAGAGGUCAACUAGGGUUCAAAUGUUACAGCUCCACUGUGGCCUGCAGCAUAUGACUACAGGUAGCAUACACAGGGGUCACACAGAGGUCAACUAGGGUUCAAAUGUUACAGCUCCACUGUGGCCUGCAGCAUAUGACUACAGGUAGCAUACACAGGGGUCACACAGAGGUCAACUAGGGUUCAAAUGUUACAGCUCCACUGUGGCCUGCAGCAUAUGACUACAGGUAGCAUACACAGGGGUCACACAGAGGUCAACUAGGGUUCAAAUGUUACAGCUCCACUGUGGCCUGCGGCAGGUAGGACACCGCUCACCUGCGGGUUUGGAAAUGCUCCUUUUUUUGUUUAUCAAGAAGAGUUUCAAAAGGCCUUUUCAUUGGUGCCAA
Oncorhynchus keta (chum salmon) is the source of this 635-nucleotide long non-coding RNA. RefSeq lists it as uncharacterized. NCBI's taxonomy places the organism in Eukaryota, Metazoa, Chordata, Actinopteri, Salmoniformes, Salmonidae. The record is from RefSeq and is a predicted model, not a curated record. The transcript is spliced from 3 exons.